CGCAAGAGAGGUGCUCUAGCU
This 21-nucleotide non-coding RNA is filed under the name Arabidopsis thaliana (thale cress). Lineage: Eukaryota; Viridiplantae; Streptophyta; Magnoliopsida; Brassicales; Brassicaceae. The record is from RNAcentral.